Long non-coding RNA from Gallus gallus (chicken), 3364 nucleotides. The record is from Ensembl. Lineage: Eukaryota; Metazoa; Chordata; Aves; Galliformes; Phasianidae.
UGAAAAGCGUCAAAAUGGAGGUUUUGGUGAUAGUGGAGAAUGCGGGGGGGUGAAAAUAGCGAUUUUUGUUCAAUUCCUGGCAAUGGCGAUUUUUGGUGGGUCCCAAAACCACCGUUUUUUGCCCCAAAAUUGUUUACUGACACAAAGUCGUUUUUCCUCCGAAAAACGCCAUUUUGGGGCUCUAAAAUUGCACUUUUUUAAAUGAAAUGAGAAUUUUUGUGUACAGAUUGAGGCGAUUUGGGGACAAAGUGAGAAAGAAAACCCGAAUUUUGGUGCUAAAACGGUGAAAAAAAGCACUGCUAAAAAUCACCAUUUUCGGUCAGGACGGAUUGAGGGAUUACGGGUUGAAAAAGAGGAUUUUUGGGCAAAUUUCUGCCUCAAAACACACGUUUUUGGUUGGAAAAUUCUCUUUUUGAUGUUUUCCCCUUCAGCCUUUCUUUCGAUUCAAAACUUUGCAUUCUCUUCACAGAAAUUAUGAUUUUUGCAGGUUUUCUUUUCCCAAAAAUGGAUUUUCUGACACAAAAUCGUUUUUCCUUGGAAAAACGCCAUUUUGGGGCUCUAAAAUUGCACUUUUUUAAAUGAAAUGAGAAUUUUUGUGUACAGAUUGAGGCGAUUUGGGGACAAAGUGAGAAAGAAAACCCGAAUUUUGGUGCUAAAACGGUGAAAAAAAGCACUGCUAAAAAUCACCAUUUUCGGUCAGGACGGAUUGAGGGAUUACGGGUUGAAAAAGAGGAUUUUUGGGCAAAUUUCUGCCUCAAAACACACGUUUUUGGUUGGAAAAUUCUCUUUUUGAUGUUUUCCCCUUCAGCCUUUCUUUCGAUUCAAAACUUUGCAUUCUCUUCACAGAAAUUAUGAUUUUUGCAGGUUUUCUUUGCCCAAAAAUGGAUUUUCUGACACAAAAUUGUUUUUCCUUGGAAAAACGCCAUUUUGGGGCCAUAAAAUUGCACUUUUUUAAAUGAAAUGAGAAUUUUCGUGUACAGAUUGGGACGAUUUGGGUCCAAAGUAAGAAAGAAAGCCCAAAUUUUGGUGCUAAAACAAUGAAAAAAACCACUGCUAAAAAUCACCAUUUUCAGUCGGAAUGGAUCGAGGGAUUCGGGGCAAAAAAGGGGGAUUCUGGGCAAAUUUCUCCCUCAAAAUACACAUUUUUUGGUCAUAAAAUUCUCUUUUUGAUAUUUUCCCCUUCAGUGCUUCUUUUGAUUUAGAGGCGUCCAUUCUGUUCACAGAAACUGCAAUUUUUGAAGGUUUUCUUUGCCCAAAAAUGGAUUUUCUCACACAAAAUCACUUUUCCUCCAAAAAAUGCCAUCUUGGGGCCAUAAAAUGGCAUUAUUAGUUACAAAACAAUAUUUUUGUGUUCAGGUUGAGAUCCAGGAGAUGAUUUUGGGUCCAAAGUCAGAAAUAAACCCCAGAUUUUGGUGCUAAAACAGAGAAUAUGACCACUGCUAAAAACCACCAUUUUCAGUCAGAACGGAUUGAGGGAUUCGGGGUUGAAAAAGGGGAUUUUGGGCCAAUUUCUGCCUCAAAACAUGAAUUUUUGGUCAUAAAAUGCUAUUUUCGUGGUUUUCCCCUUCAGUGCUUCUUUCGAUUUAGAGUCUUGCAUUCUGUUCACAAAAACUGCAGUUUCUGAAGGUUUUCUUUGCCCCAAAAUGGAUUUUCUGGCACAAAUUCAUUUUUCCUCCGAAAAAACGCCAUUUUGGGGCCAUAAAAUGGCAUUAUUUGUUAUAAAACAGUAUUUUUGUGUUCAGGUUGAGAUCAAGGAGAUGAUUUUGGGGCCAAAGUCAGAAACAAACCCCAAAUUUUGGUGCUAAAACAGAGAAAAAGACCACUGCUAAAAACCACCAUUUUCGGUCAGAGCGGAUCGAGGGAUUUGGGGGCAGAAAAGGGGAUUUUUGGGCAAAUUUCUGCCUCAAAACACACGUUUUUGGUUGGAAAAUUCUAUUUUUGAUGUUUCCAUCUUCAGUGCUUUUUUCGAUUCAAAACCUUGCAUUCUGUUCACAAAAAUUAUGAUUUUUGCAGGUUUUCUUUGCCCAAAAAUGGAAUUUCUGGCACGAAAUCGUUUUUCCUCCAAAAAACGCCAUUUUGGGGCCCUAAAAUUGCACUUUUAUAAAUGAAAUGAGAAUUUUCGUGUACAGAUUGAGGCGAUUUGGGGACAAAAUGAGAAUCGUGCCCCAAAUUUUGGUGCUAAAACAGAGAAAAAGACCACUGCUAAAAACCACCAUUUUCAGUCAGAACGGAUCGAGGGAUUCGGGGUUGAAAAAGGGGAUUUUGGGCCAAUUUCUGCCUCAAAACACACGUUUUUGGUUGGAAAAUUCUCUUUUUGAUGUUUUCCCCUUCAGCCUUUCUUUCGAUUCUAAACUUUGCAUUCUGUUCACAGAAAUUAUGAUUUUUGCAGGUUUACUUUGCCCAAAAAUGGAUUUUCUGACACAAAAUCGUUUUUCCUCGGAAAAACGCCAUUUUGGGGCCCUAAAAUUGCACUUUUUUAAAUGAAAUGAGAAUUUUUGUGAACAGAUUGAGGCGAUUUGGGGACAAAAUGAGAAAGAAAACCCGAAUUUUGGUGCUAAAACACUGAAAAAAAACACUGCUAAAAAUCACCAUUUUCGGUCCGAACGGAUCGAGGGAUUUGGGGGCACAAAAUGAGGUGAAAAAAGCCAAAUUUGGGUCUGAAUUCAGACCGUGUCACAGCGGUGAAGUUUUGCAGCUGUGCCAUACGUUCGAAUGGGGCGGAUUUGCCCAAAAUUUGCAUUUUUGGGGGCAAAAAAAAGAGCUGUGGUUUCGGCCAUGGGUUGAACCGAAACCCCGAAAUAGCCCCAAAACCGCCUUUUCUCCACCCAAAAUCGGGGCUUUCCGACCCAAAGCUGCACUUUUCUCGCCCACAAUCGCAACCCCACCCCAAACUGUUGGUUUUUCACCCAAACUUUCGGGUCCCACACCCAAAACGUGGUGUUUUUCACCCAAAAUCGGUGUCUCUGCCCGAAAUCAAGCCGGUUUUCCCACUCCAAAUUGAAUGUUUUUUACCCAAAACGGAGUGGUUUUGGCCCAAAAAGGAGCGCUUUUCACCCAGAAUUGAGUGCUUUGGCCCCCAAAUUGUCCAAAAUUUGAUGGUUUUCACCCCAAAUUUUAUAACCCUGACCCAAAAUUGAGAAUAUUUCACCCCGAGUGGAGCGUUUUUACCGAAAUUGUAGUUUUUUCACCCAAAAUUGUGGUUUCUUUUAGCCCAAAAUUGAGUGUUUUGACCCAAAACUGAGCUUUGCUCACUAAAAACUGAGAUUUCCGGACCCAUAGGGACCCACAGAAACCCCAUAGAGACCCAUAGAGACCCAUAGGGACCCAUAGAGACCCAUAGGGACCCAUAGAGACACAUAGGGAC